AAUCUUUAAUUUAUUGGCUCAUUCUGUCUACCACAUGUGCACAUAAAACCAGAACAAUUGAAAAAUGCUGUAGAACUUAAGGAUCGUUCCAGGAAGAGAAAGGAAAUCCAUCUAUUAAGUUUUUCCAUGUGUCUAGUGGAGUAGAUGGAGAUACAACAUCGUCAGAUGACUUUGACUGGCCACGAAUUGUUCUGAAAAUAAAUCCACCAGCCAUGCAUUCCAUUUUGGAGAGAAUUGCAGCUGAAGAAGAAGAGGAGAAUGAUGGUCACUACCAGGAGGAAGAGGAAGGAGGUGCUCAUUCCUUGAAAGAUGUUUGUGAUCUAAGAAGACCAGCCCCAUCUCCUUUUUCUUCUCGUAGAGUAAUGUUUGAAAAUGAACAGAUGAGGAAAGUGGAUCUGAGGAGGAAACUUUGCAGUAUUUUUCCACUGUUGAUCCCAACUAUCGUUCUCGCAGGAAAAAAAAAUUAGACUCUCAGAACAAGAACUCUCAGAGUUUUCUCUCAGUUCUUCUGAAUAUUAAUCAUGGAUUAAUAGCAGUGUUCACAGAUGUG
This 550-nucleotide small RNA is filed under the name Pongo abelii (Sumatran orangutan). RNAcentral's name for it is "processed transcript". The record is from RNAcentral. Lineage: Eukaryota; Metazoa; Chordata; Mammalia; Primates; Hominidae.